Molecule: long non-coding RNA, 721 nt
Filed under: Meriones unguiculatus (Mongolian gerbil)
Lineage: Eukaryota; Metazoa; Chordata; Mammalia; Rodentia; Muridae
Description: lncRNA (ENSMUGG00000020420.1)
Source: RNAcentral
AGGGUUAAAUCUCAACGCCACUUCCAAUCUGACUCUGCCCCCACCCUUUCUCUCUCAGUUCAGACUUGGUUCCUUCAACCUAAACAAAGUUACAAAGCCAACUGAAGUCAUUCGAGAACUCAUUUGUUACUGCCUGGACACCAUUGCAGAAAAAGAGGCCCAAAACGAACACCUACAGAGAGAAAAUGAAAGACUCCUAAGAGAUUGGACCGAUGUCCAAGGCCGAUUUGAGAAAUGUGUAAGUGCCAAAGAAGCCUUGGAGGCAGAUCUGUAUCAGCGAUUUAUCUUGGUGCUGAAUGAGAAGAAAACAAAGAUCAGAAGUUUGCAUAAAUUGUUAAAUGAAGUCCAGCAGCUGGAAAAGAGUGCCAGAGCUGAAAGGGAAACUACAUGUUCUGAAAAAACACCUGACCACGAUACAAUUUACGACGCGAGCACUGAUGAAGACAGUGGGGCUUCAGGGCCGGCUGCAGCCACGUGUUGUAAAGAUGAUUCCUUAUUUUCAAGUCCUGAUGUCACUGACAUUGCACCAAGUAGGAAGAGGAGACAUCAAAUGCAGAAGAAUCUUGGGACGGAGCCUAAAAUGGCACCACAGGAGCAGCAGCAACAGGAGGAGGAGAGGUGAGAGCAGCCUCAUGGGAGGCUAUUGGAAGGACCAGUAUCUGAGAUCUCUGGUUUUGGUUAAUUCCUGUUAAUGUUAAAGGCAGAAAUGCGGGAAGUAUAU